Molecule: ribosomal RNA, 862 nt
Filed under: uncultured Alphaproteobacteria bacterium
Lineage: Bacteria; Pseudomonadati; Pseudomonadota; Alphaproteobacteria
Description: bacterial SSU rRNA
Rfam family: Bacterial small subunit ribosomal RNA
Source: RNAcentral
GAGUUUGAUCCUGGCUCAGAACGAACGCUGGCGGCACGCCUAACACAUGCAAGUCGAGCGCUUCACUUCGGUGAGGAGCGGCGGACGGGUUAGUAACGCGUGGGAACAUACCCUUCUCUAAGGAAUAGUCUCGGGAAACUGGGGGUAAUACCUUAUACGCCCUUCGGGGGAAAGAUUUAUCGGAGAUGGAUUGGCCCGCGUUAGAUUAGAUAGUUGGUGGGGUAAUGGCCUACCAAGUCUACGAUCUAUAGCUGGUUUUAGAGGAUGAUCAGCAACACUGGGACUGAGACACGGCCCAGACUCCUACGGGAGGCAGCAGUGGGGAAUCUUGGACAAUGGGCGCAAGCCUGAUCUAGCGAUGCCGCGUGAGUGAUGAAGGCCUUAGGGUCGUAAAGCUCUUUCGCCAGGGAUGAUAAUGACAGUACCUGGUAAAGAAGUCCCGGCUAACUCCGUGCCAGCAGCCGCGGUAAUACGGAGGGGACUAGCGUUGUUCGGAAUUACUGGGCGUAAAGCGCACGUAGGCGGAUCAGAAAGUAUAGGGUGAAAUCCCAGGGCUCAACCCUGGAACUGCCUUAUAAACUCCUGGUCUUGAGUUCGAGAGAGGUGAGUGGAAUUCCGAGUGUAGAGGUGAAAUUCGUAGAUAUUCGGAGGAACACCAGUGGCGAAGGCGGCUCACUGCCUCGAUACUGACGCUGAGGUGCGAAAGUGUGGGGAGCAAACAGGAUUAGAUACCCUGGUAGUCCACACCGUAAACGAUGAAUGCCAGACGUCGGGUAGCAUGCUAUUCGGUGUCACACCUAACGGAUUAAGCAUUCCGCCUGGGGAGUACGGUCGCAAGAUUAAAACUCAAAGGAAUUGACGG